GGGCGGAUAGUUCGGGUUGUUGACAAAGUUAGAGCCUAAGCCAGUUUGGAAAUUUAUCGGUACCGAAGCUCCGGCCUGAACCUGCUGGGGCAUGAUCGUGACAGAUGGUUUCGGUAAAUUAAUCUCGGGCUUCAUCGGUACAUGCGUUGGAGUAAAGCCAAGGGGUAAUGAGGAUCCUCGUUAGUUUCUUCAACUUUAUCCAUAGGGCCCUUUCCCUUAUCCGUUCCUCC
This 230-nucleotide long non-coding RNA is filed under the name Gossypium barbadense (sea-island cotton). Its description in RNAcentral is "long non-coding RNA (GBAR_LNC004435)". The record is from RNAcentral. Lineage: Eukaryota; Viridiplantae; Streptophyta; Magnoliopsida; Malvales; Malvaceae.